GAGUGGCGAACUGGUGAGUAACACGUGGGAAACCUGCCCAGAAGCGGGGGAUAACACCUGGAAACAGAUGCUAAUACCGCAUAACAACUUGGACCGCAUGGUCCGAGCUUGAAAGAUGGCUUCGGCUAUCACUUUUGGAUGGUCCCGCGGCGUAUUAGCUAGAUGGUGGGGUAACGGCUCACCAUGGCAAUGAUACGUAGCCGACCUGAGAGGGUAAUCGGCCACAUUGGGACUGAGACACGGCCCAAACUCCUACGGGAGGCAGCAGUAGGGAAUCUUCCACAAUGGACGAAAGUCUGAUGGAGCAACGCCGCGUGAGUGAAGAAGGGUUUCGGCUCGUAAAACUCUGUUGUUAAAGAAGAACAUAUCUGAGAGUAACUGUUCAGGUAUUGACGGUAUUUAACCAGAAAGCCACGGCUAACUACGUGCCAGCAGCCGCGGUAAUACGUAGGUGGCAAGCGUUGUCCGGAUUUAUUGGGCGUAAAGCGAGCGCAGGCGGUUUUUUAAGUCUGAUGUGAAAGCCUUCGGCUCAACCGAAGAAGUGCAUCGGAAACUGGGAAACUUGAGUGCAGAAGAGGACAGUGGAACUCCAUGUGUAGCGGUGAAAUGCGUAGAUAUAUGGAAGAACACCAGUGGCGAAGGCGGCUGUCUGGUCUGUAACUGACGCUGAGGCUCGAAAGUAUGGGUAGCAAACAGGAUUAGAUACCCUGGUAGUCCAUACCGUAAACGAUGAAUGCUAAGUGUUGGAGGGUUUCCGCCCUUCAGUGCUGCAGCUAACGCAUUAAGCAUUCCGCCUGGGGAGUACGGCCGCAAGGCUGAAACUCAAAGGAAUUGACGGGGGCCCGCACAAGCGGUGGAGCAUGUGGUUUAAUUCGAAGCUACGCGAAGAACCUUACCAGGUCUUGACAUACUAUGCAAAUCUAAGAGAUUAGACGUUCCCUUCGGGGACAUGGAUACAGGUGGUGCAUGGUUGUCGUCAGCUCGUGUCGUGAGAUGUUGGGUUAAGUCCCGCAACGAGCGCAACCCUUAUUAUCAGUUGCCAGCAUUAAGUUGGGCACUCUGGUGAGACUGCCGGUGACAAACCGGAGGAAGGUGGGGAUGACGUCAAAUCAUCAUGCCCCUUAUGACCUGGGCUACACACGUGCUACAAUGGAUGGUACAACGAGUUGCGAACUCGCGAGAGUAAGCUAAUCUCUUAAAGCCAUUCUCAGUUCGGAUUGUAGGCUGCAACUCGCCUACAUGAAGUCGGAAUCGCUAGUAAUCGCGGAUCAGCAUGCCGCGGUGAAUACGUUCCCGGGCCUUGUACACACCGCCCGUCACACCAUGAGAGUUUGUAACACCCAAAGUCGGUGGGGUAACCUUUUAGGAACCAGCCGCCUAAGGUG
RNAcentral lists this ribosomal RNA (1385 nucleotides) under Lactobacillus sp. KLDS 1.0708. RNAcentral's name for it is "16S ribosomal RNA". It matches the Rfam family "Bacterial small subunit ribosomal RNA", at positions 93 to 1464 of the family's 1533-position model. RNAcentral also lists the same sequence under 4 other names. The record is from RNAcentral. Lineage: Bacteria; Bacillati; Bacillota; Bacilli; Lactobacillales; Lactobacillaceae.